CAAUCCCUGAGUACAGUGGCGUACGGGUGAGUAACACGUGGGGAUCUACCUUUGGGUGGGGGAUAACUCUGGGAAACCGGAGCUAAUACCGCAUAAGCAGGGAACUGGAAAGCCGAAAGGCGCCGGAAGAGGAGCCCGCGGCCGAUUAGCUAGUUGGUGAGGUAACGGCUCACCAAGGCAAAGAUCGGUAGCCGGCCUGAGAGGGCACACGGCCACACUGGCACUGAAACACGGGCCAG
RNAcentral lists this ribosomal RNA (239 nucleotides) under uncultured bacterium. RNAcentral's name for it is "partial 16S ribosomal RNA". It matches the Rfam family "Bacterial small subunit ribosomal RNA", at positions 80 to 334 of the family's 1533-position model. The record is from RNAcentral.